ACGUGGGAUGGGUUUAAUUCUGCUCUCUGGCAGCUGCUGCUGAGUGGGUUCAUGUUGGACAACGCCAGGCCUGUGUAAUAAUGUCCCAAAGCCCAGGCGCAAGUGGGACAAGUAGGCCGUAUAGACAGCGCUGGGCCCCGCGCGCGUCCCCUCGGACCUCACCUGAGUACGUGUGGAAGGUGUCCUACUGCUAGAAGCUGCGACUCUGCCCGAGGGCUUGCUCUCGGUCCAAGCAUGCUGCCAGACAGCUGUGGCCAAAUUAAUCCCCCAGGAGCGGACAUCCGCUAAUGUUGCAUGGGGAUUGCAAGGGUCCUAAUAAGAGGAAGGCAAGAAGGUCAAGAAGGAGGAGAUGGGACCACAGACACAGAAGUUGGAGUGAUGAACUUGAAGGUCGAGGAAGUGGACGAGGAGCCAAGCAGUGCAGGUGGUCUCUAAAAGCUGGAAAAGACAAGGAAACAGAUUCUCCCCUGGCCUCCAGAAGGAACCAACCCUGCCAAUACCUUGCUUUUUAACCCCUUAGGAUUCAUUUUGGACUUCUGACCUCUGGAAUUCCAAGAGGAUAAAUUUAUGUUUUAAGCCACGAAGUUUGUGACAAUUUGUUACAGCAGCA
RNAcentral lists this long non-coding RNA (610 nucleotides) under Equus asinus (donkey). RNAcentral describes it as "lncRNA (ENSEASG00005025269.1)". Lineage: Eukaryota; Metazoa; Chordata; Mammalia; Perissodactyla; Equidae. The record is from RNAcentral.